Molecule: unclassified non-coding RNA, 240 nt
Filed under: soil metagenome
Description: partial contains 5.8S ribosomal RNA, internal transcribed spacer 2, and large subunit ribosomal RNA
Source: RNAcentral
AAGACUAUAGACCUGCGGAGUACCUGCGGAAGGAUCAUUACUGAGUGAGGGCCCUCUGGGUCCAACCUCCCACCCGUGUUUAUUCGUACCUUGUUGCUUCGGCAGGCCCGCCUCACGGCCGCCGGGGGGCUUCUGCCCCCGGGCCCGCGCCUGCCGGGGACAAUCUGAACGCUGUCUGAAGAAUGCAGUCUGAGCGAUUAGCUAAAUUAGUUAAAACUUUCAGCAAUGGAUCUCUAGAUC